AUUGCUCAUUACUACUACUAGGGCGGUACGACUGGGGUGCAUCCCCCCUGCUGUUCUGCUAUGGCACCCCGGCUCAGAGAAACCGGAACGCCCCAUAUUCCAGCCCAGAGAUUGAGAAGAAGUCUUCUGGAAUAUGGCACUGCUUAGCAUAGAACAAAUCAGCUCUUUAUUGCAAGCUAUAUUGGGUCCAAGGGGAUUACAUCGGCACAGCGACACUACGCCUGCCACGCUUGCUCUAUGCAAGCAGCAGAACAACUCGACGCAGCGGAAUGACUAUUGGCAGCGGAACAACGACAGCGGUGAUGAACUCCACUCCGUAGGGACUCUGGCUGGAACGCUUAUCCUAGCGCGCAAACAAGGGAUCCAUGGCAAAUGAGCAAUCAUAUCUGGCAUGACCUGCAAACUGGCAUGACACGCCAGGUCAGUACAUGAAAUGUACUUGGAAGCUCACAGCAACCAAGGCAAUCAAAACAAACAAUAGCAUGGAAAUUACAAGUUAACCAGGUUUAACAUGAUACUAUCAGAUCAAUCAUAGCAGGAACAAGAUGAUACAGCUAGAAGAAUAUGAGCAUGGCAUAAACAUAUGAACAUGAUGAGACUAGCAUGCAACAUGAUGACGCUAUCAUGCUCCAACUUACUCUGCUCGUGUUACAUCGUAAUCAUCACCUGCACAAACUUACCAUCACGGACAUCACACGAUCAUCUCAGGAUCAAAUCAAGCUUGGUAUUAACAAUACCGUAGUAAUCAUUCAUGACCACAAGGAGCUUGACCUUUACUCUUGACUCUCGCAUAACACCACAAAUAUCCAACAAGUUGGCAUUCACGAUACUACAGUGAUCCUCUCAUGAUCACAUAAAUAUCAACCAACUUCUUUCAUCAUUGAACCGGGGUUGUUAUUAAGCAAAUUAUUAUUAUUCCUGUUGACCCACAGUGUGACCAACUACGAACUGGGCCCAUAUUCGCGGGCGCGGCUAUCGAUAGAUUAAAAACACACACUCUGGAGAGGUUAGCACACUGUACCCACACCAUGGAACCCUGGCCUUGCACUCCCAAUAGGGUGGACCAAAGCGUUCCGACAAAACCGUCCUACUGCCAUGACACUCUCCCGGCCACUCCGACCAACUCCCCUUUGGACUAAGUCCAGGGUGGCUCCGUUCCUACCAAAGGCACCAACGGCCACCGUCAUGGCAAAACGGUCCCAAAUGGGGACAAGGAUCCAUACUCAACAACGGGCACACAAGGCUUAUGCCGUCCUACCUAGUCAGGGUAGCGCUCGCGCAUAACCUUCCCUCGCGGGAGGCACCGGUGAGAGGCAUGACAAUAGACCCAGUUAGGACCCCCCCCCCAUAGGGUAAGCGUGGUUGCACUGGUCAAAUCGAUAUGGUGGCACCAUGACUCAGCCAACAGUUGUUCAAGUUCAAUUAAUCCGGUUAUAUUAGAAUGCAAUAUGCUGAGCCAUGACAAAAAUAAUAGGAUGCACUACAAUCCGUGAACAUGAUAUCAAAAUAAGCAUGGAAGUGCAACAUAAUCAACGAUCAUAAUAACAACAUUUAAUCAUUUAUCCAGAUGAGCAUGGCAUACUGACGAGCAUGAAUAACAUAACUAGAACACUACUCAUAGCAUAACAUGACCACUAGCAUCAACAAUAAAUACCAUGUAAUAACAUAACGAUAUUCUAUCAUGCAAGCAUUUAUCCAACUGGGUGCAAAGGAACAUGCAUAACAACGGUACUCGGAACAGACGAUAGUCAUGCACCGAAGACCAUCACCAACAUGUACUAUUACCAAACAUUGCAAUAUUAAAGUAAUACUAGCAUUAAGAACAUAAUAACAGAGUGCAAGAAAACAUGACGGUAAACACCGAUCCAUAAGCAUAACCAAAAUAACGACAGUAGUAGCAAAACAAUCAAACAGUUAUUAAAGAUUCAAGUUAGAAACCAAUGCUUCUGCAUGUCUAUCAUGCAAAUGGUGGUUGUGGCUUGCCUGGGUAUGAAGAAGGCUUCGGGGAGAAGUGCGGAACGACCGCGAAAAGAUUCGCCGGAAAAGAUUCGCUCUCGGAAGGGGCUCAUUAGGGGCAAGGGUGAAAUGGUCAUUUCCAGUAUGUCAAACCAUAGUGAAAAUGACACCAAAAGUUCGAGCUCGACGAGACGAAGAAGUGGGCUUUGGAUUCACCUCAAUCGGAGUUACAGUUGCGGAGAUAUGAGGUGUUGAACACCAGGGACCAAUCUGUGAAUAAAAAUUCAACAAACAAGUCCCUAGAGGCAAAAAUUGAAAGCGCCUUUCGCUGAGUACAUUUUCUGAAAAGGGAAAACGUAUUUUGCGUGAAGUUAGAGGAAAUACGCUUCCCAGAAGGGAAAGCGUGUUCCGGUUUAUAAGAAGGGACAAUGCACUUUCGAGAAACGGAAACGUAUUCCUGAGAAUAUGCUUCCACUUACAUGACUAGGCAGAGGCGGGGCCGGCUCGCGUGACACUGACGUGCGGGUCCCACGGGCAGUGGGGCGCGUCACUUAUCCACGUCGACCGCCGGGUGAACGCCUGUGUCACUGCCAGGGGGCCCACCGGACCUCUAUCUCUCCUGCUCGCUCCUUCCCUUCUUCCUCCCGAUGUCGGCUCCAGAACAGAGGAGGCCGCGCGCGCCGGCGAGGAGCCCGGGUGGCAUAGGCCACCGUUGGAGGCGCUUCGGCCACCGGGGUGCUCGGGGAGGAGCAGCGCGUCCAGCCAGGCGGGGUACGUAGGGCGGGGAAAUCAGGGGAGCGCGUGGUCUAGGUCGGGGCGGACGGCGGCAAUGGCGGGGCUCGGACGACCUAAGAAGGACGGAGGAGCCGCGGAGAGGAGGAGCUGGGUGUCGGGGAGGCUCUAGGGGUGUGGUGGAGGGCUCUGGUGGUGUCCAGGAGGAGAGGGAGGGCUCGGCUCGGGCUAAUUUAGCCGGGGCCGUGCGGUGGCCAUGGCGGCCUACUGCCGCGAGGAGGGGCUCCGGGGCUCGGGAGACUAGCUAGGGAGGGGUCUGGGAGUGAGGUGCGGUCGCUGGUGAGGU
This 3034-nucleotide long non-coding RNA is filed under the name Triticum aestivum (bread wheat). RNAcentral's name for it is "long non-coding RNA (TAES_LNC025599)". Lineage: Eukaryota; Viridiplantae; Streptophyta; Magnoliopsida; Poales; Poaceae. The record is from RNAcentral.